GAUGAAGAACGCAGCGAAAUGCGAUAAGUAAUGUGAAUUGCAGAAUUCAGUGAAUCAUCGAAUCUUUGAACGCACAUUGCGCCCGCCAGUAUUCUGGCGGGCAUGCCUGUUCGAGCGUCAUUUCAACCAUCAAGCCCCAGGCUUGUGUUGGAGCCCUGCGGCUGCCGCAGCCUCCCAAAACCAGUGGCGGGCUCGCUAUCACACCGAGUGCAGUAGUUUACUCUUCGCUCAGGGCGUGUGGCGGGUGCUAGCCGUAAAACCCCCAACUUCUCAAGGUUGACCUCGGAUCAGGUAGGAAUACCCGCUGAACUUAAGCAUAUCAAUACGGAGGA
This 332-nucleotide unclassified non-coding RNA is filed under the name soil metagenome. RNAcentral's name for it is "partial contains 5.8S ribosomal RNA, internal transcribed spacer 2, and large subunit ribosomal RNA". The stretch from base 1 to 120 matches the Rfam family "5.8S ribosomal RNA", at positions 35 to 154 of the family's 154-position model. The record is from RNAcentral.